This is a long non-coding RNA of Bactrocera latifrons, 487 nucleotides long. RefSeq lists it as uncharacterized. The transcript is spliced from 3 exons. The record is from RefSeq and is a predicted model, not a curated record. Lineage: Eukaryota; Metazoa; Arthropoda; Insecta; Diptera; Tephritidae.
UGAAAUCAACAGAACUUGAACUUUUUUCUAAAUCAAAAUUUGAUUUAUUGUCUAUAAGCAUCUGUGUAUUUCUAACACUGAGAAGAAAAUGGAUAUUGAGCGAAAUUUGCUGGAAACACUAGUGACUGAAAAACAAAGGCUGAGUACACUACAAAAGUUCACCCUUUGUCUAUUUAGCGCACUUUUGAUCUUCACUAUUAUCAUUUUGAUUGGGCAAUCACACCAAUUAGAUUCCGAAAAAAAGGCCUUCUUUUUCAGAGCUUAAAUGUUGAAGCAAUAUAAUUUAAGCGCGACAGUUAAUUUAUGUAAAGGACUGUUUGGUUUUGUUAUGACCGGAAUUGGCGUAUUCUUUCUGCUCACUUUCAGUAUUUCGACGGUUCUAUCGAUGGAGUUUAUAAUUGAUUGGAUCGACUUAUUUCUCAGAAGUGUUAUUGAAUUUUUAGAUUUGGAUGCGCAAUUGCUUAAAACAGUUAUUAUAACAGAGAAA